This 253-nucleotide ribosomal RNA is filed under the name uncultured bacterium. Its description in RNAcentral is "partial 16S ribosomal RNA". It matches the Rfam family "Bacterial small subunit ribosomal RNA", at positions 524 to 776 of the family's 1533-position model. The record is from RNAcentral.
UACGGAGGGUGCAAGCGUUAAUCGGAAUAACUGGGCGUAAAGCGCACGCAGGCGGUCGGAUAAGUCAGAUGUGAAAGCCCCGGGCUCAACCUGGGAACUGCAUUUGAAACUGUUCGACUAGAGUCUUGUAGAGGGGGGUAGAAUUCCAGGUGUAGCGGUGAAAUGCGUAGAGAUCUGGAGGAAUACCGGUGGCGAAGGCGGCCCCCUGGACAAAGACUGACGCUCAGGUGCGAAAGCGUGGGGAGCAAACAGG